CGCAGCCGCGGUAAUUCCAGCUCCAAUAGCGUAUAUUAAAGUUGUUGCAGUUAAAAAGCUCGUAGUUGAAUUUCGGGAUUCUACCGUUGGUCGGGCUAACAAGUCUGUACUGGUGUGUAGAAUUUCUACCUUCUGGGAACUAUCAUGUUAUUAAUUUAGCGUGGUGGGAAACCAGGACCUUUACCUUGAAAAAAUUAGAGUGUUCAAAGCAGGCUUAUGUCUGAAUACAUUAGCAUGGAAUAAUAGAAUAGGACGGUGGUCCUGUUUUGUUGGUUUCUGAAUCACCGUAAUGAUUAAUAGGGAUAGUUGGGGGCAUUAGUAUUCAAUUGUCAGAGUGAAAUUCUUGGAUUUAUUGAAGACUAACUUCUGCGAAAGCAUUUGCCAAGGAUGUUUUCAUUAAUCAAGAACGAAAGUUAGGGGAUCGAAGACGAUCAGAUACCGUCGUAGUCUUAACCAUAAACUAUGCCCGUACUAGGGAUCGGACGAUAGUUAAAUUUUAUGUACUCGUUCCGGCGUACCU
This 520-nucleotide ribosomal RNA is filed under the name uncultured Glomeromycotina. Its description in RNAcentral is "SSU rRNA". It matches the Rfam family "Eukaryotic small subunit ribosomal RNA", at positions 569 to 1088 of the family's 1831-position model. Lineage: Eukaryota; Fungi; Glomeromycota. The record is from RNAcentral.